GACGAACGCUGGCGGCGUGCUUAACACAUGCAAGUCGAGCGGUAAGGCCCUUCGGGGUACACGAGCGGCGAACGGGUGAGUAACACGUGGGUGAUCUGCCUCGCACUUCGGGAUAAGCCUGGGAAACUGGGUCUAAUACCGGAUAUGACCUUUCAGUGCAUGCUGUUUGGUGGAAAGAUUUAUCGGUGCGAGAUGGGCCCGCGGCCUAUCAGCUUGUUGGCGGGGUAACGGCCCACCAAGGCGACGACGGGUAGCCGACCUGAGAGGGUGACCGGCCACACUGGGACUGAGACACGGCCCAGACUCCUACGGGAGGCAGCAGUGGGGAAUAUUGCACAAUGGGCGAAAGCCUGAUGCAGCGACGCCGCGUGAGGGAUGACGGCCUUCGGGUUGUAAACCUCUUUCGACAGGGACGAAGCGCAAGUGACGGUACCUGUAGAAGAAGCACCGGCCAACUACGUGCCAGCAGCCGC
This 473-nucleotide ribosomal RNA is filed under the name Nocardia vulneris. RNAcentral describes it as "bacterial SSU rRNA". It matches the Rfam family "Bacterial small subunit ribosomal RNA", at positions 28 to 518 of the family's 1533-position model. Lineage: Bacteria; Bacillati; Actinomycetota; Actinomycetes; Mycobacteriales; Nocardiaceae. The record is from RNAcentral.